Molecule: ribosomal RNA, 497 nt
Filed under: uncultured bacterium
Lineage: Bacteria
Description: partial 16S ribosomal RNA
Rfam family: Bacterial small subunit ribosomal RNA
Source: RNAcentral
GAUGAACGCUGGCGGCGUGCCUAAUACAUGCAAGUCGAGCGAACGGACGAGAAGCUUGCUUCUCUGAUGUUAGCGGCGGACGGGUGAGUAACACGUGGAUAACCUACCUAUAAGACUGGGAUAACUUCGGGAAACCGUAGCUAAUACCGGAUAAUAUUUUGAACCGCAUGGUUCAAAAGUGAAAGACGGUCUUGCUGUCACUUAUAGAUGGAUCCGCGCUGCAUUAGCUAGUUGGUAAGGUAACGGCUUACCAAGGCAACGAUGCAUAGCCGACCUGAGAGGGUGAUCGGACACACUGGAACUGAGACACGGUCCAGACUCCUACGGGAGGCAGCAGUAGGGAAUCUUCCGCAAUGGGCGAAAGCCUGACGGAGCAACGCCGCGUGAGUGAUGAAGGUCUUCGGAUCGUAAAACUCUGUUAUUAGUGAAGAACAUAUGUGUAAGUAACUGUGCACAUCUUGACGGUACCUAAUCAGAAAGCCACGGCUAACUACGUG